This is a long non-coding RNA of Misgurnus anguillicaudatus (oriental weatherfish), 1037 nucleotides long. RefSeq lists it as uncharacterized. NCBI's taxonomy places the organism in Eukaryota, Metazoa, Chordata, Actinopteri, Cypriniformes, Cobitidae. The record is from RefSeq and is a predicted model, not a curated record.
CACCUGUCCAGUAGGGGGCGAUGAUAACUAGCAUUGGGAAAUAACAGGAAGCAUUGCGCAGGAAUUUAAUCCGUCGAGCAUGUGAAACAGCUGAGUACAUCAAACCUGUAGCGGACAAUGACAAAUGAUGAAGCUACCUGCAAUGGAUCACAUCUGGCCAAAGCUGUGUUUGCGCACUAGAAGUGCUUCCAAGGGCAUGAAUGCUGCACAAUGAACCACAGUGGUCUUAAAGUCUUCGAUGUGGGAUCAUUGGUUUAUACUCCCAUAAAGAUGAGCAGUGUGCCUUUUUCUCAACCGGCUACCAAUUUCAACGGUAAAAAAACAGGCUUAAGGUACUUGUGGUGUUUGGGGUCCCAUGCUAAAUGCCCUCCUGCCUAAGCUCACUGGCCUGGCUGACGGUCCUCGUGGUAAAAUGAAAGAAAUGAAAGCCUCAGUGGACAUAAUGCCUUGAGCCCAGAUGAUUCUGAACAGAACACUGAACUUCAUGUCUGGCCAUCUCUCUGUAAGACCACUGGACUUCCUUUAAGACAUUACACAGGGGGAGACACAACCAGUGAGUUGCGGUGGCGGUGUAAAAAUUUCCCAAAAUGCAAUGGUCAGAGAAAGGGAGUGCUGCCUCUCAGGCCUAGUGUUGACAGCCUGGGAUGACAUCACCAACAACUGCAAUGAGAUACCAGCAUAACAUAAAUAAUAUUUUUGUUGACAUUUGACAUAAAUCAGAUAAGAAGGACUGUACUGUAACUCAUGGCUAAGCUGAGAUAUCAUCACUGUCUCACUGACACUCUACAGUAUGAGCCUGACACGACAUCUGUCGCCCAUGAACCAACAGAGAUAGAUGAAGACAUACACUACAGUAUAAAUGAGACCAAAUGUUUUGUAAUCCAUAUUUUUUAUGGAAAAUUGUAACUUUCUUUUAUAUUUUAUUUUAUUUAUUUUUUUGUUUCGUUUUCUUUCACCAUGAAGGUUCCAUAUUUCCUGGUCAGUAAUGGCUACAUGAAGUUUCACAUUAAAGCACAAACACACAAUUAAAACAACAA